Molecule: ribosomal RNA, 500 nt
Filed under: Tiarina fusus
Lineage: Eukaryota; Ciliophora; Prostomatea; Prorodontida; Colepidae
Description: Tiarina fusa partial Bacterial large subunit ribosomal RNA
Rfam family: Bacterial large subunit ribosomal RNA
Source: RNAcentral
GACUGGGGCGGUCGCCUCCUAAAAAGUAACGGAGGUGUGCAUAUAGCUAAAAGCAGCACUUUUACAGUGUUUGGUAUCAUAAUAGAUUUUUUUAGCUUGAUUAAUUUACUUACAAGUAAAUUAAGGAUAAUAAUUUAUUGUCUGCUAUAAUGACCCGGUAUACGUGCAAGAAAAGUAUAUCGAUUAACGAAUAAAAGGUACGCUAGGGAUAACAGGCUUAUGAAUUCUGAGAGUUCUUAUUGAUGAAUUCGUUUGGCACCUCGAUGUCGGCUCGUCACAUCCUGGUGGUGGAUAAUCUUCCAAGGGUUCGGCUGUUCGCCGAUUAAAGUGGUACGUGAGCUGGGUUUAGAACGUCGUGAGACAGUUUGGUCCCUAUCUGCUGUAUAAAAUAAAAAAUUAACGAACUCUUACAUCAGUACGAGAGGACCAGAACGGGGCAAUCACUGAUAUAUAGGUUACUUAGUCAAGUAUUGCCGAAAAGUUACAUUGCAACAAGUUAA